This 597-nucleotide ribosomal RNA is filed under the name Stenasellus racovitzai. RNAcentral's name for it is "bacterial SSU rRNA". It matches the Rfam family "Eukaryotic small subunit ribosomal RNA", at positions 1 to 575 of the family's 1831-position model. Lineage: Eukaryota; Metazoa; Arthropoda; Malacostraca; Isopoda; Stenasellidae. The record is from RNAcentral.
AACCUGGUUGAUCCUGCCAGUAGUCAUAUGCUUGUCUAAAGAUUAAGCCUGCAUGUCUCAGUACAGGCCUCACUAAGGCGAAACCGCGAAUGGCUCAUUAAAUCAGUCAUGAUUCAUUGGAUUAAGCCACAAGAUUUACUCGGAUAACUGUGGUAAUUCUAGAGCUAAUACGUGCAACUGAGCUCCGACCCGGUCUUCGGACAGGGGAAGGGCGCUUUUAUUAGAUCAAAAACCGUUCGGACUCCGGUCCGUAUCCACUGAACGGUGGUGACUCUGAAUAACUUAGCCGAGCGCUACGGUCACUGUACCGGCGCCGUAUCUUUCGAGUGUCUGCCUUAUCAGCUUUCGAUUGUAGGUUAUACGCCUACAAUGGCUGUAACGGGUAACGGGGAAUCAGGGUUCGAUUCCCGAGAGGGAGCCUGAGAAACGGCUCCACAUCUAAGGGAGGCAGCAGGCACCCAAAUUACCCAAUCCCAGCUUGGGGAGGUAGUGACGAAAAUAACGAUGCGGGACUCUUCCAGGGCUCGCAAUCGGAAUGAGUCAACCUUAAAUCCUUGGACGAGGAUCCAUUGGAGGGGCAAGUCUGGUGCCACACCC